UUGCUGCAACGUCAGGGGCACGCCCCGCUUCCCGUUUGCCUCACUUCCUGUUUGCCUCACUUCCUGUUUACCAUUGCUGACAGGGUCACUGUUGGGUGUCCAUAGCCAGAGAGCUGAGCCGCUCGCUGGCUGCUGUAUGUCCAGUUCGAGCCGUGAGCCGCUCGUGAGCCGUUACUGAAGCUGUGGGCCUCCGGUGGCGGGGACUGGUGUCUUCGGGUGGUGGGAACCCCUUCCUGUGUGGUGUGCUGCUCAUCCCCUGGUUGUUUUAUUUAUUUCUUCACUCAGGUGUGUGUGUGUGUGUGUGUGUGUGUGUGUGUGUGUGUGUGUGUGUGUGUGUGUGUGUGUGUGUGUGUGUGUGUGUGUGUGUGUGUGUGUGUGUGUGUGUGUGCGCGUGCGCAUGUUCACGUUCACGUGUGAGUGGGGUGAUUUCUCCUGGGCUCCCUUGUGAUGCCCGUUGGCCCAAACCUCCACCAGAGAGCCCCCAGCUCUGAUUAGUCCCCAAACCCGUCAUUUAACAAUCUCGUGUGAAUGGUUGUUUUUUUUUUUUUUUUUUUUUUUUUUGGUUUUAAACUGAGUAUUUUUAGUAUUAAAUAAAAUUUGUAUUUUUUGUCUGCACUGGAAUCAUAUCUCUUGCCUCAUCAGUGGAACGAACCUGAGUUGCCUUCUCGUUAGUGGUGGUUAUAAUUCCCUGGGUGAAAGUCCCAGGGUGGCGUUGUCUGGCCAGUGUCUACAUUCAGUAAUUGUAGCACGUUAGUUUAUCCCCGACCCCUGCGCUCGCCACACUUGUUUUAUGCUUACCGCGUCCGCGAGGUCCGUGCGGCUCCGUGCGGAAAAAUUACGUCAUUUUCGCACCCCGCCCCCUCCGGCGGCCUUUCCGUGCGGAAAAUUUUCGCUCCACACACCUCAACAUUUUUCUAACCAACGCGGACGGAGCCGCACGGAAAAACAUGGCGGAGGGCCAGGACCUACUCGUAGCUGAAGUCUAGAAAUACGUGCACCUAUAUGAUUCAUCUCACAGAGAUCACCGUGGUAACCGGGUUAUGAACUAUUCAUGGUGUGAAAUAAAACUAACUGCUGAAAUGCUUUUAUUUGGUAAAAUGCCGUGUUGUAAGUGGUGUAAACCAUGGCAAACUUCUUCUUCUCUAGUUUAGUACCAGAGUAGACCAGGUGUCGCUGUGUCGAUGUCCACAGCUUGUUAGUGCUUCUUCCAGUGCUGCUCCUCCCUCGCUGUUCUCUCUACUGUAUGCCAUGGUACACAAUGUUUUUUUCCUGGGGAGGGACGAGGACUUAGUGCUAGACUUUAAUCCCCUUUCAUGACCAUGAUGAGUAGUUACCAUUAUUAUUGUUCUGAUUAUGAUGAUUUAUCGUUGUUCUUCUAUAUUACUGAAUGUUUUCCUUUCUUCUGUGUGUUUGAGCUACACUGCCCCCGGCAGUUUGGAAGCAGACUUCUUCUUCCCUAGUUUAUUACUAGAGUAGACCAGGUAGACGUGUGUUAGGGAUACACUGCCCCCUGCAGUUUGGGAGCAGACGCGCACGGCCCGCAAUAGCAUAGCUGCAAGUGUAGCUUCUGAUAGCCGUGCCUUAGCAGCUCCCGAGCAGCCGGGAAGUCAAGGUAGCUGGAUGACAGUUCGUAGGAAACGUAGUCCUAAACUCAACCCGCUGUCCCGGCACACCACAAACCCCUUCACGUUUCUAAUCGUUUUUCCCCACUCAACGACACACCCGCUGAGAAACAAACUCUGAUCAUUGGCAGCUCCAGGGUUGCCACCUUUCAGAAAUUAAAAUAAAGGACGGCCACCACGGCUUCUUGGGGCCACAGUUCAGUAAAGUUGGAAAAAUAUUCACAGAUUCAGACUUCCAGCAUUCCAGCAUUAGAUAUACUUUGUCAAAAGAUAAACAAUGCCUCUUUCCCGUCGUUGUAAGGCAGACAAUGUGCUACAUUGUCUUACUUAUCAAAAGUAGCUGUCUUUCAAGCUGCAGUUUACUGAACUACCACCCAAGGAGUGGUAAUAUUUAAUUUUGAAAAAAGCACUUAGCCUUACUUAAAGCUUUAAGUAUGGAGUCACAGGAGUGUCACAAUAAAAUAUAAAUAAAUAAGGAAAUAAAUGUGGAAAUAUAAAGAGAAAUAAAUAAAUAAAUGUGGAAAUAUAAAGAGAAAUAAAUAAAUAAAUGUGGAAAUAUAAAGAGAAAUAAAUAAUUGUGGAAAUAAAUGUGGAAAUAUAAAGAGAAAUAAAUGAAUAAAUAAAUAAACAUAAAGAGAAAUAAAUAAAUAAAUAUAAAGAGAAAUAAAUAAAUAAAAAGGGAAAUUUUCUCUUUGGUUUUCCCUUUUCUCUUUUUUUCCUUUUAUUUUUCCAGUUUGUCAUUGUCUUUUCCGUUUUGCAUUUGCCUUUUCCUUUUGGCACUCAGUCCAUCAAGUAAAAGCAAAGUCAAAAGCCUUGGCUUGACUUGGUGGACUGAGCUGUCAAUCAAAUGGCUCUGGGCGGGGCUUUCUGUCCAGGGUGAGUAAUCGUACCUGAUCACAGGAUUCCUGCUUGGCGAUAGCUCCUAGCCCGGCUAAACGGAAGUGAUGUUACCUUGGCGCUGAGAGGAAGUGCAGACAACGCAGUUUGCAAAUACACGAACGUGACACUUUCAGCGGAUCAGAGUAGCUGGAUUUCUCAAUGUUUGGACUCUGUAGCGGGAUAUGAAGAAGUCAGUAUCUCAGUUGGUCAGAGAAGAAGCUGACAGGCUGGAUGAGCAAGCACAUCCAAACACCCCGUCGCCGAGACAGUCGGAUUCAACGCUGUUAACAAGAGACCCCAUUGAUGGUAAGUAGUUAUUACUUCUUUUGUUGAGUUAUAGUAAAACUAGCCAGAAAGUGCAUUGUGCGACGCUGAAGUCAGCUUUUCAGCUUCCGAUUCGGCAGUUCAAUGAAUAGUCAAGGGGAACUUGAACACGGUUUUGUGAAAAGUAAAGAGUAUAUGCAACUGGAAGCUUCUGGUAACACUUCCUUCAUUGCUUUUCUCUAAAAGCUGAGGUGUCAAGACUUUUCUUGUCAUACCAGACCUCUUCACGGUCUCUGACCCCACGUCACAGGCCAAUGCUAUUUCCAAGAAGCUGUGCUGUUUCGUACUCACCACAGCAACUUCUGGACUGCAUCAUUUGGCCAGUGGAAUCCGAUAGUGAUGAGGACACAAGUCUGGAGGAAAAGUGCCAUAUCUCUGGAUUUCUGAGAGAAUACAUUGAAAAUGGAACUUCUGAAGUUCUGGCAGGGGUGGAAGGUUCUUCCAAAAGAGCUGCAUGUGGAAAUUGUGCAUGGACAAAUGCCUCAGUCAAGCACAUGCAUGGAGACUCUUCGGCUGCCUUCACGCUAUAAGUCUUAUGAUGUUUUCUGUGAGGCUCUGAACGCAGCAGUCAGUUCUGUUCAAACAGGGUUUGGACUUGUUUAAAGUCACAACUUCAAGUGUUAUGCAGCCAAUUAAUGUUACCAAAAUGCAUAAAAUGUUAAAGCAGAUAUGUUUAGUUGUUUUGACAAUUGUUCUGAUGUGAUGUAAGCUUGUGAGGCAAAUGCAUGCUUCAGGAGAAGGUUCACAACAGUUCUUGUUUUUUCUGCUGCCAGGCUCAAAUUGUUGUGUGUGACAUUUAACAUGUAACAGAAAUGUGGCGGCCAGUGAGUUGUUGCAGGAAGACAGUUUAAAGGUGAGAGUUGAGAGAGUGAAUUAAUGGAGUAGCUUAUUUUUAUGUAAAAGAUUACAAACCUGAACUAUGGUUCAGGUUUGUGCAUUUCUGAACUGUGACAACAAAAUGUUUCCACACUUGGAGAAGACUGUGUUUGGGGAACAGUUGUAAUAUAAAUGUGUGGAAGUUAAAGAAAAGAAUUAUCAGUUCUGUUAAAAAAUGUUUUUUUUAUUGGCACAUUGUUUUAAUGCUUUCAAAUUAUUCAGCAUGCAAUAAAAGCAGUUUUGUAUCCCUUUGUUAUGUCUUGCUUUUUUACAUUUUUGUUUUCACAGGCAUUUAUUUGAAAUUCACAACUUGUCAUAAAAUUAUGCACCAAAAAUUUGCAGCAUUCUUUCAAGUCUUGUUCGACCAUUUCAAACGGUUUCAUUCUGAUCAUGUUAAGGUGAGUUGUGAUAGGCCUAGGUUUGUUGAAAAAUGUUCUUAAGAAUAUUGCUCUCAGCUCUCGUAGGAGGCGGUCGCACUUUUCCUUGCUCCGCUAUCUCUGUUCCUCCCUACCCUCAUGUCUCCCUGCUUGCUGCAUUUCUUCGUCUUCGUCUCGUUUGUCUGACUUGGAGCGAUUGCUUGGCACUGGACCUUUGAAACACCGAUCAUGGAAUUGAUUAACUGGUCUCUCAACGCAAUUGACAAGAUUGUCGCCACAAAGAGCACAGGCCUAGGGGAGCCUACCUGCCCGGAUGGGAGUUUCGCCUCUGGUUACGUGAUCGACGCCUGGGGGAAGUGGAAGGGGAUCAUGUGCCUGGCACCCCUAUCCGUGGAGGACGUGGAAGAUGUUUAUAUAUUUGGAUUUAUGAUGACAGGCCUGCUGAUAAUCGGCUUGUUCACUGGCCUGAGCUUCUGGAAAAUCAGGAAGACCGCAGACAGAAAUGACGUCCAAACUCUGCUGGUCUAUGCAAACGAACGGAUCAUGGCUGCCGAUUCUCGGUAUGACGAACUCAAUCGUAAGAUGAACAAUUUGCUUGGUGUGACUGUUGAUUUGAGUCGCAGAUUGGAAGCCAUUAGGGUGAGAAUCGCUACAGCUGAGGUCUAAAAUUGUUGAUGUAUGCCCGGAAGGUGAAAUUGUUCCUCUCUCCUGACCAAACAAGAAGGAAACUGAUUACAUUCUGGCGCCCCUGGAACAAUAACAAACUCCUCUGGAAGUUUCAUGGCCAAGAGAUAGCUCUCCUAAACCCCCCCCACUUUCCCAAGGACACCUGUUGACUUUUGGACCGGGCCAACCGAGGACGUCUCCAUAGCAACCUUGCUGUGUUAUCGCGCUCCCACCCUCGCGAAUCUGAGACACCGGAGGUCUGAGACGGAAGAAGAUGGGCUACACACAUACACAAACAUUCGGACUCAUGAACUGAGGACUGAGCUAAACAUUCGCACAGACAUUCCCAUAUCCCCCUCCCCCCCGCUUCCACAAGCUUCCCUCGCUAUGCACAGGAGCCAGGAAUCCGUGCACUUGCACAGGAACCGGCUAACUGUGCGGUGCUCCCCCCUCCACCACCCCACAUCCUUAUCCCAACUAUCCUUUUCUAACGUCAUGCUUUGCCUGUUUGUGGGUUUGUUUUUUUAGGUUCCUUCUCAAAUUGAAUUUCCCAACAUUGGAGGUUUCAUUUGGUACAACGAGCCUUUUUUUUCCUUUACCCUUUGCAAUCCCUACCCAGAUCCCAACAUGUCCUUUUUCUUUUUUUCUUCAAGAAAGGUGCGCGCAGCACUGCGCAGCAGCCGGAGCUGUCAUUGGCAGGGCAGCUCAAAUGAAAUUUCGUUGUAUAUGAAAAUGUGCAAUGACCAAUAAAGAUUGAUUGAUUGAUUGAUACACUGUAUCCAUGUAUGCCCGUAGUGCAGCAGAAAAAGGGACUGCCGGAUCAGACAAUGAUGUAACUUCAGCCUGGGUAAGCUGCUGGGGUAGUUGUGCAUCAGGUACAGUGACACCCUCUGGGUAUGGGGUGUGAGGUCCUGUCCAGUCUAUUCCAUAAUCAGCAGCAACCUGAAAGGAAAGCAUAAUUUGAAAGCAAGCCCUUUUAUUAAGAAAUGCACAUUCCUCAAGGAAAAAAAAAUUAAGAAGUAAAUGAGAUUAGGAACUACAUGGUAUGGCAAAACGGCAAGUGAACCGUCUAGUACCACAGCAGAAAUAAUAAAGUUAACAUAAAUAAAUAUAAAGGAAGACAGGAAGGUAGAGGUACAAGAGGGAAUUUGUACCUCAACUGGAUCAGC
Molecule: long non-coding RNA, 5913 nt
Organism: Amphiprion ocellaris (clown anemonefish)
Lineage: Eukaryota; Metazoa; Chordata; Actinopteri; Pomacentridae
Source: Ensembl